RNAcentral lists this ribosomal RNA (467 nucleotides) under uncultured bacterium. RNAcentral's name for it is "partial 16S ribosomal RNA". It matches the Rfam family "Bacterial small subunit ribosomal RNA", at positions 28 to 506 of the family's 1533-position model. The record is from RNAcentral.
GACGAACGCUGGCGGCGUGCUUAACACAUGCAAGUCGAACGGAAAGGCCCUGCUUUUGUGGGGUGCUCGAGUGGCGAACGGGUGAGUAACACGUGAGUAACCUGCCCUUGACUUUGGGAUAACUUCAGGAAACUGGGGCUAAUACCGGAUAGGAGCUCCUGCUGCAUGGUGGGGGUUGAAAAGUUUCGGCGGUUGGGGAUGGACUCGCGGCUUAUCAGCUUGUUGGUGGGGUAGUGGCUUACCAAGGCUUUGACGGGUAGCCGGCCUGAGAGGGUGACCGGCCACAUUGGGACUGAGAUACGGCCCAGACUCCUACGGGAGGCAGCAGUGGGGAAUAUUGCACAAUGGGCGGAAGCCUGAUGCAGCAACGCCGCGUGCGGGAUGACGGCCUUCGGGUUGUAAACCGCUUUCGCCUGUGACGAAGCGUGAGUGACGGUAAUGGGGAAAGAAGCACCGGCUAACUACGU